Molecule: small nucleolar RNA, 199 nt
Filed under: Myotis davidii
Lineage: Eukaryota; Metazoa; Chordata; Mammalia; Chiroptera; Vespertilionidae
Description: Small nucleolar RNA SNORA73 family
Rfam family: Small nucleolar RNA SNORA73 family
About the family: U17 (SNORA73A and SNORA73B) also known as E1 belongs to the H/ACA class of small nucleolar RNAs (snoRNAs).
Source: Rfam by way of RNAcentral
CCAACGUGGAUACCCCCGGGAAGUCACUCUCCCCGGGGCUCUGUCCAGGUGGGGAGCAUAGGGCUCUGCCGGUGAUGUACAGUCCCUUUCCACAACAUUGGAGAGAAGGCCGGGCCUUGAGUAUGCGCCUCCAUAUUCCUACAGCUUCUCAGAGUCUUGUGGACAAUGACUGAGGAGACAAACCAUGAAGGAAAUAUCU